UACAGAGGUCCCGAGCGUUGUUCGGAUUCAUUGGGCGUAAAGGGUGCGUAGGCGGCGGGGCAAGUCUGAUGUGAAAUCCCGGGGCUCAACCCCGGAACUGCAUUGGAUACUGCCUUGCUAGAGUACUGGAGAGGGAACUGGAAUUUACGGUGUAGCAGUGAAAUGCGUAGAGAUCGUAAGGAAGGCCAGUGGCGAAGGCGGCUUCCUGGACUCAUACUGACGCUGAGGCGCGAAAGCGUGGGGAGCAAACAGG
RNAcentral lists this ribosomal RNA (253 nucleotides) under uncultured bacterium. Its description in RNAcentral is "partial 16S ribosomal RNA". It matches the Rfam family "Bacterial small subunit ribosomal RNA", at positions 524 to 776 of the family's 1533-position model. The record is from RNAcentral.